Molecule: ribosomal RNA, 504 nt
Filed under: uncultured bacterium
Lineage: Bacteria
Description: partial 16S ribosomal RNA
Rfam family: Bacterial small subunit ribosomal RNA
Source: RNAcentral
AUUGAACGCUGGCGGCAGGCCUAACACAUGCAAGUCGAACGGUAGCACAGAGAGCUUGCUCUCGGGUGACGAGUGGCGGACGGGUGAGUGAUGUCUGGGAAACUGCCCGAUAGAGGGGGAUAACCACUGGAAACGGUGGCUAAUACCGCAUAACGUCGCAAGACCAAAGAGGGGGACCUUCGGGCCUCUCACUAUCGGAUGAACCCAGAUGGGAUUAGCUAGUAGGCGGGGUAACGGCCCACCUAGGCGACGAUCCCUAGCUGGUCUGAGAGGAUGACCAGCCACACUGGAACUGAGACACGGUCCAGACUCCUACGGGAGGCAGCAGUGGGGAAUAUUGCACAAUGGGCGCAAGCCUGAUGCAGCCAUGCCGCGUGUAUGAAGAAGGCCUUCGGGUUGUAAAGUACUUUCAGCGGGGAGGAAGGCGAUGUGGUUAAUAACCGCGUCGAUUGACGUUACCCGCAGAAGAAGCACCGGCUAACUCCGUGCCAGCCGCCGCGGUAA